UUGUGACGCCUGCCAGCCGCAGGCUGGGUCCCCGAGGCGGGCGGCAUUUAGGCUCGGUCUCCACAGCCAUGGCCGCGACGCAGGAGCUGCUGCUGCAGUUGCAGAAGGAUAACCGAGAUGGUCGCCAGCGGAAGCAGGAGCUAGAGAAGCUGAUACGCGGGCUCGAGGCCGAGAGCGAGAGCCUCAACCAGCGCCUGCAGGACCUAAGCGAGCGGGAGCGGAGGUGCGCGGGGAACGCCGCUCUACCUGGCGGGCGCGCGAGGGUCGGUCCCGCAGGCAGCGCCGCGAGGUGCUUCGCAGAGUACCAGGCUGAUCCGCCCGGGCCCGCAUCUCUGCUCUAGGACCUUGGGAAUGGGUGAUCCACCCAGCGGACCCAGCCUGCUGCGGAGGCGAAGCCAGGCAGCGCAGCCUCUGCAAAGGGAGGCGCGCGAGGCGGCGCGGGAGCGCGCGGAGCGGGUGCGCAGAAGACUGGAGGAGGCGGAGCGCCACAAGGAGGACUUGGUGAGGAAGAGUCCUGGAAUGGGGCUGGACCCAGGGUGGGGUGGGGCAGGGCGGGCGGAAGGGGGCCGGAUCCGGGGGUGGGGUGAGGUAGGACCGGCGGAGAGGUCGGCACCGCCCCAGGACCCUGUCCGCAGGAGCAGCACAGCAGGCAGCUGCAGGAGCAGUGGGAGGAGCUGUCGAGUCAGGUACGUGCAGGAGAUGGGAGGCCUGUCUCUUGGUUCCUCUCGAAGUCCUGCCCUUGUCCUCGCCCUUGUUGCCUCCCUGUCCCUGUCUCCCCUGACACCCGUUCCUCCAGAAGCCCGGUAAACCCCGCCCUUACGAGCCCCGCCCCUAGCUCUUCUACUACGGAGGAGAACCGCAGAGCCAGAAGAGCACGGAGCAGCAACUCGCAGCCCAGUUGGUGACGCUGCAGAAUGAACUGGAGCUGGCGGAGACCAAAUGCGCCUUGCAGGAGGAGAAGCUGCAGCAGGGCGCGCUGCAGACAGCGGAGGCCUGGGCCAUAUUCCAGGAGCAGACCGUAGUCCUGCAGGUGCGGCCCCACUCAGACGCCAAGGUGCCUCCCGCCUCUCCUCCCCCAGACCUGGGGCGGUGUGACGGGCAGCUUCGCGGAGUGCAGUACAGCACCGAGUCGCUCAUGGAGGAGAUGGCCAGGGCGGACCGAGAGACGCGGCUGUUCGGCGGUCCUCGCGCGCUGGCCAUCAGGCGGUGCGUGCUGGGCGCGCUGCAGGUGCUGCUGACGCUGCCGCUCCUCUUCCUGGGGCUGUCGCUGCUCUGGACGGUGCUGUUGGACCCCGGCGCCGUCUCCGCGUGGCUCUGGAGCCUCACCUCGGAGACGACGCUGCGCCGCCUGCGCUACACGCUGUCCCCGCUGCUGGAGCUGCGCGCUAACGGGCUGCUGCCAACCUAAGUGCAGCGCCCCGCGCCUGGCUCCAGGUGGACGCCAGGGCACCUGGCUUUAUUUCUGGUGCACUCCUCUCCUGAGAGUGUAGACCAAGGUCGCCUAAUAAACUCCUCAAGGGAUG
Molecule: small RNA, 1523 nt
Filed under: Pan troglodytes (chimpanzee)
Lineage: Eukaryota; Metazoa; Chordata; Mammalia; Primates; Hominidae
Description: retained intron
Source: RNAcentral